This 253-nucleotide ribosomal RNA is filed under the name uncultured bacterium. RNAcentral's name for it is "partial 16S ribosomal RNA". It matches the Rfam family "Bacterial small subunit ribosomal RNA", at positions 524 to 776 of the family's 1533-position model. The record is from RNAcentral.
UACGGGGGGAGCAAGCGUUGUUCGGAUUUACUGGGCGUAAAGAGCUCGUAGGCGGUCUGUUACGUCUGCUGUGAAAACCCUGGGCUUAACCCUGGGCUUGCAGUGGAUACGGGCAGACUAGAGGCAGGUAGGGGAGAAUGGAAUUCCCGGUGUAGCGGUGAAAUGCGCAGAUAUCGGGAGGAACACCGGUGGCGAAGGCAGCUUGCUGGCAUGUUUCUGACGCUAAGGCACGAAAGCGUGGGGAGCGAACAGG